CGGGGUGCACCAGGCGCGAAAACUCUACAAUGCAGGCAACUGCGAUAGGGGAACAUCGAGUGAUCCUCAUAUUGGGGGUCUGUCCACCCGCCUAAAAAGCGGGUGUUAGCAAGGGCCGGGCAAGACCGGUGCCAGCCGCCGCGGUAAUACCGGCGGCUCGAGUGGUGGCCGAUAUUAUUGAGUCUAAAGGGUCCGUAGCCGGCUUUGCAAGUCUCUCGGGAAAUCCAGCGGCUUAACCGUUGGUCGUCCGGGGGGUACUACAUUGCUUGGGACUGGGAGAGGUAGGAGGUACUCAGGGGGUAGGAGUGAAAUCCUGUAAUCCUUUGGGGACCACCGGUGGCGAAGGCGUCCUACCAGAACAGGUCCGACGGUGAGGGACGAAAGCUAGGGGCACGAACCGGAUUAGAUACCCGGGUAGUCCUAGCCGUAAACGAUGCUCGCUAGGUGUCACAACAGUCGUGAACUGUUGUGGUGCCGUAGGGAAGCCGUGAAGCGAGCCACUUGGGAAGUACGACCGCAAGGUUGAAACUUAAAGGAAUUGGCGGGGGAGCACAAGGGCGAUUCGCG
Molecule: ribosomal RNA, 567 nt
Filed under: uncultured archaeon
Lineage: Archaea
Description: bacterial SSU rRNA
Rfam family: Archaeal small subunit ribosomal RNA
Source: RNAcentral